Molecule: long non-coding RNA, 706 nt
Organism: Portunus trituberculatus (swimming crab)
Lineage: Eukaryota; Metazoa; Arthropoda; Malacostraca; Decapoda; Portunidae
Exons: 3
Source: RefSeq, a predicted model, not a curated record
AUUGUUUGCAGCUACGCUAACAGAAAGCAGUCUCGGUUCUCCACUCUUGUGUGUUUUUGGAAGGAGGUUCUGUACCUGCUGGUUCUACGUCUUGCAAGGUGCUGCCACUACUGGAGGAAGAACCAAACCACUGUGCCUUGUCCCUGGUACACAAUGUGGCGAACACGUGUACAAGGGUAAAUUUCAUGACAAUAGUAGGACAUGCUGAAGAAUUCUGAGCUGCCUCGCUCUCCCUCCGCUUGUAGGUGCUAUCACUACCAGUGUAGGACAACUUUCCUCCUGCUGCAAGAAGCGGUGCAUGUUGGAGUGGGAGAUGAGUCAUCUUCUGCCUCGCUUCAUCUGAGGAAGGAGGGGAGACGUCUGCCUCGUAUCUCCACUACCUUGCCGACACGUGAUGCCAUCCAGUCUUGCCAACACAACGCCAUCCAGGGAGGGGGAGAGUAAGAGACUGCCCUGCUUGCUGCCAUCCUGGAAAUAGUCUGCCCCCUCCCUCCCCCGCACCACAACGUACGGCUUGCUAACACUUGCUACCAUCAAGGGACGGAGGAGACUGCAUCAUGUGUUCUUUCAGUGCAUGCCAGGGAAAGAAAUUCCCACCCAUAACUACACGCCAUCCUGCCACUUUGUAUCUAAUGUUGCCAUGCCAUUCCCUUCUCGUCCUGUGAAUCUACUAAUGGUGACCGUACUCAAUAAAUUAUUUUAAUUA